This 253-nucleotide ribosomal RNA is filed under the name uncultured bacterium. Its description in RNAcentral is "partial 16S ribosomal RNA". It matches the Rfam family "Bacterial small subunit ribosomal RNA", at positions 524 to 776 of the family's 1533-position model. The record is from RNAcentral.
UACGUAGGGUGCAAGCGUUAAUCGGAAUUACUGGGCGUAAAGCGUGCGCAGGCGGUGAUGUAAGACAGGUGUGAAUCCCCGGGCUUAACCUGGGAACUGCAUUUGUGACUGCAUCGCUGGAGUGCGGCAGAGGGGGAUGGAAUUCCGCGUGUAGCAGUGAAAUGCGUAGAUAUGCGGAGGAACACCGAUGGCGAAGGCAAUCCCCGUGGGCCUGCACUGACGCUCAUGCACGAAAGCGUGGGGAGCAAACAGG